RNAcentral lists this unclassified non-coding RNA (304 nucleotides) under Hevea brasiliensis (rubber tree). Lineage: Eukaryota; Viridiplantae; Streptophyta; Magnoliopsida; Malpighiales; Euphorbiaceae. The record is from RNAcentral.
UUAUUUGAGAUUUUCUGCCCAAAUGUUCCGUUGAAAUUAUUUGAGAUUUUCUGCCCAAAUGUUCCGUUGAAAUUAUUUCUUCUUUUAAACCUUGAAUUUUGAAAGCCAUUUUGUGCCACUAUAGAUACUGAUAAUUCCUUGCAUACAAGAUAAAACUCGUUUUUAAUUGAGGUGUGGUUAUGUGUAUUAAUUAAUGGAAAACUUGCUUGCAAAUGUCAAGUUACCCCCACCCAAGAGAGGCAGAAUAGAACCUUCCCAUCACGCUUGAAUUUCGUCUUUGAUCAAGUUGUUUAAUAGGGAUAAA